Molecule: unclassified non-coding RNA, 179 nt
Filed under: Puniceibacterium sediminis
Lineage: Bacteria; Pseudomonadati; Pseudomonadota; Alphaproteobacteria; Rhodobacterales; Paracoccaceae
Description: caulobacter sRNA CC2171
Source: RNAcentral
CAACGUAAUUGAAAGGAGGUGAUCCAGUGUCGAGAGAAACAUUGGAGAGAGGUGUCGGAACAGUUCGGAGGAUGACGCCCUAGGGCAGCCCCGGGGUCAAACCCCUCCCGAAUUGGUGAGCGCCUAACCGGCCCCACCUCCUCAAUUCUCGAAGGGCCGUCCGAAGAUCGGGCGGCCCU